This 805-nucleotide ribosomal RNA is filed under the name uncultured bacterium. RNAcentral's name for it is "bacterial SSU rRNA". It matches the Rfam family "Bacterial small subunit ribosomal RNA", at positions 56 to 909 of the family's 1533-position model. The record is from RNAcentral.
UGCNAGUCGNNCGAAGUAGCAAUACUUAGUGGCAGACGGGUGAGUAACAUGUAGGUAUCUUCCCUUUGGUGAGGAAUAACACGAGGAAACUUGUGCUAAUACCUCAUAAGUCUUUACGGAGAAAGCUUUAUGCGCCGAAGGAUGAGCCUGCACUUGAUUAGUUUGUUGGUGGGGUAAUGGCCUACCAAGACUUUGAUCUAUAGCUGAUCUGAGAGGAUGAUCAGCCACAUUGGGACUGAGACACGGCCCAAACUCCUACGGGAGGCAGCAGUAGGGAAUAUUGCACAAUGGAGGAAACUCUGAUGCAGCGAUGCCACGUGAGUGAAGAAGGCCUUUGGGUUGUAAAGCUCUUUCGUCGGGGAAGAAAAUGACUGUACCCGAAUAAGAAGGUCCGGCUAACUUCGUGCCAGCAGCCGCGGUAAUACGAAGGGACCUAGCGUAGUUCGGAAUUACUGGGCUUAAAGAGUUCGUAGGUGGUUAAAAAAGUUGGUGGUGAAAUCCCAGAGCUUGACUCUGGAACUGCCAUCAAAACUUUUUAGCUAGAGUAUGAUAGAGGAAAGCAGAAUUUCUAGUGUAGAGGUGAAAUUCGUAGAUAUUAGAAAGAAUACCAAUUGCGAANGCAGCUUUCUGGAUCAUUACUGACGCUGANGAACGAAAGCAUGGGUAGCGAAGAGGAUUAGAUACCCUCGUAGUCCAUGCCGUAAACGAUGUGUGUUAGACGUUGGAAAUUUAUUUUCAGUGUCGCAGCGAAAGCAUUAAACACACCGCCNGGGGAGUACGACCGCANGGNUAAAACUCAAAUGAA